GAGUUUGAUCAUGGCUCAGGAUGAACGCUAGCGGCAGGCUUAAUACAUGCAAGUCGAGGGGCAGCAGGACUGUAGCAAUACAGUUGCUGGCGACCGGCAAACGGGUGCGGAACACGUACACAACCUUCCGAUAAGUGGGGAAUAGCCCAGAGAAAUUUGGAUUAAUACCCCGUAACAUAUAGAGUAGGCAUCUUCUUUAUAUUAUAGCUUCGGCGCUUAUUGAUGGGUGUGCGUCUGAUUAGGUAGUUGGCGGGGUAACGGCCCACCAAGCCUACGAUCAGUAGCUGAUGUGAGAGCAUGAUCAGCCACACGGGCACUGAGACACGGGCCCGACUCCUACGGGAGGCAGCAGUAAGGAAUAUUGGACAAUGGGCGAAAGCCUGAUCCAGCCAUGCCGCGUGAAGGAUUAAGGUCCUCUGGAUUGUAAACUUCUUUUAUUUGGGACGAAAAAAGGGAUUCUUUCCCACUUGACGGUACCAAGUGAAUAAGCACCGGCUAACUCCGUGCCAGCA
RNAcentral lists this ribosomal RNA (512 nucleotides) under uncultured Sphingobacterium sp. Its description in RNAcentral is "bacterial SSU rRNA". It matches the Rfam family "Bacterial small subunit ribosomal RNA", at positions 9 to 513 of the family's 1533-position model. The record is from RNAcentral. Lineage: Bacteria; Pseudomonadati; Bacteroidota; Sphingobacteriia; Sphingobacteriales; Sphingobacteriaceae.